This 462-nucleotide ribosomal RNA is filed under the name Savignium crenatum. RNAcentral describes it as "partial 12S ribosomal RNA". The record is from RNAcentral. Lineage: Eukaryota; Metazoa; Arthropoda; Thecostraca; Balanomorpha; Pyrgomatidae.
CGCCAUCAGUCUAUACUAUACACUGACGACAUGGUUCUACAGAAACCAGGAUUAGAUACCCUGUUACUUAUAAUUAAAAAUUUUGGAAUAGUAAUUAUUAUGAAAUUUAACUGAUUUGGCGGCAAAAUAGCCAUUUAGAGGAACCUGCCCUAUAAACGAUGAACCACGAAAUACUCUACUUUUUUUGUAAACAGUUUGUAUACCUCUGUUGUCAGUCAGUUUUAUAAGAAAACUUUCUCUAAUGAUAAGAUCAUAAACUUCAAGUAAAGGUGCAGCUUAUAUAAAAGAUAGAGGUGGGUUACAUUUAUAAUGAUUAAAACGGAUAAAGAUUUUUGAAAAAACUUUUGAAGGCGGAUUUAAAUGUAAAGUUUAAGCAAACUUGAUGUGAGCUCUAUUUUGUGUACAUAUCGCCCGUCGCUAGACCAAGUCUCUGCUACGUAAUAGUAUAGACUGAGCGGCUGG